GAUGAACGCUGGCGGCGUGCCUAAUACAUGCAAGUCGAGCGAACAGACGAGGAGCUUGCUCCUCUGACGUUAGCGGCGGACGGGUGAGUAACACGUGGAUAACCUACCUAUAAGACUGGGGUAACUUCGGGAAACCGGAGCUAAUACCGGAUAAUAUAUUGAACCGCAUGGUUCAAUAGUGAAAGACGGUUUUGCUGUCACUUAUAGAUGGAUCCGCGCCGCAUUAGCUAGUUGGUAAGGUAACGGCUUACCAAGGCGACGAUGCGUAGCCGACCUGAGAGGGGGAUCGGCCACACUGGAACUGAGACACGGUCCAGACUCCUACGGGAGGCAGCAGUAGGGAAUCUUCCGCAAUGGGCGAAAGCCUGACGGAGCAACGCCGCGUGAGUGAUGAAGGUCUUCGGAUCGUAAAACUCUGUUAUUAGGGAAGAACAAAUGUGUAAGUAACUAUGCACGUCUUGACGGUACCUAAUCAGAAAGCCACGGCUAACUACGUG
Molecule: ribosomal RNA, 497 nt
Filed under: uncultured bacterium
Lineage: Bacteria
Description: partial 16S ribosomal RNA
Rfam family: Bacterial small subunit ribosomal RNA
Source: RNAcentral